UACUACGGCCACGCCCCCCUGAGCACGCGCGAUCCCGGCUGAUCUCGGAAGCUAAGCAGGGUCGGGCCUGGUUAGUGCUUGGAUGGGAGACCAUUUUUAGGAAGACCAGGUGCUGUAGGCG
This 121-nucleotide ribosomal RNA is filed under the name Pteropus alecto (black flying fox). The record is from RNAcentral. Lineage: Eukaryota; Metazoa; Chordata; Mammalia; Chiroptera; Pteropodidae.